UACGACUACAUAUCAGGCAUAUCAAUAAGCGGAGGAAAAGAAACUAACUAGGAUUCCCUUAGUAACGGCGAGUGAAGCGGGAAGAGCUCAAAUCUGAAAUCUUCAAGGUUCUACCUUGACGAAUUGUAGUUUAAAGAAGUGUUUUCUGUUGGAGUUUUGGUAAAAGUUCUUUGGAAUAGGACAUCAUAGAGGGUGAGAAUCCCGUAUUUGACCAUUACUUCCAGCGUUGUGAUACACUUUCAAAGAGUCGGAUUGUUUGGGAAUGCAGUCCUAAAAUGGGUGGUAAAUUUCAUCUAAAGCUAAAUAUUGGCGAGAGACCAAUAGCGAACAAGUACCGUGAGGGAAAGAUGAAAAGAACUUUGAAAAGAGAGUUAAACAGUACGUGAAAUUGUCAAAAGGGAAGGCGUUUGACACCAGUGUUGUUUUUCCGAAAAUCAAUUACGAAUGUUUUGUUUUUAAGGAGUUAUGACUUCAUCGGCUUGCUCCUUUCUUUACGAAACUUUCUUAAUGCACUUUUCGGUUAACAAGUCAACAUCAAUUUCUUUUGUUGUAAAAGGGUAUGAGGAAGGUGGCUUACUUUUCGGAUGUAAAGUGUUUAUAGCCUUGUAGCCUCUGCAAUCGGAGAGAUUGAGGUCUGCAGCGUAGAUCCUUCGGGGUUAGAUACAGUUUGUGCUAAGUUAUAGUUUUCAUAGACAACAUGUUGACUAUGAUUAGUCAUGUAGCUUACUCGCUGAUGCUAUUUUACCUACGCUUAGGAUGUUGAUCUCUCACAGUCGAGC
RNAcentral lists this ribosomal RNA (779 nucleotides) under uncultured Neocallimastigales. RNAcentral describes it as "partial large subunit ribosomal RNA". It matches the Rfam family "Eukaryotic large subunit ribosomal RNA", at positions 24 to 644 of the family's 3401-position model. Lineage: Eukaryota; Fungi; Neocallimastigomycota; Neocallimastigomycetes; Neocallimastigales. The record is from RNAcentral.